UCCACCAGUUUAGAGAUUUCUGGGGGAAAAAGGGAAGUGGAGGUUUUCCAGGCAGAUCCAGGAGCCUCGGAGUCGGAUGUUCCUUCCGCUGCAGGAGCAAACAGGAAGCUGCGACUGUGGCCGCGCUGAAGGUGUCGGGUGUGCGAGCUGCGGCUGGAAAUAGAAAGCACAUGAAUCACAUUUGGUUUGUUCUGUAAUUGCAGCCUUCGCGUUCAGAGGGAGAGAGGGAGAAGCGACGUGCAGCCAUCUGGAGCGCUCGUCCUCCAACCGAGUGGAGGACGCAGGAAUUAUCACGAUAUGAUCGUUCGCAGGGAGGAUUCGCAGAAUUAGUCACCGCCGGUGGAAACAUGUGACACGUCUGACAAAGGAACAACUCGCUGCCACUUAAUUAACAUGGAGCUCAGAGUCAAAGUUUGUGCCGACGGGAUGUUUUAUUCCUCCACACGUCAGAAAACACCGUGAGCAGCUGUAAUAAAUCCAUUUUCACCAAGUUUUCAGCAGUAAAAUGUUAUAAAUCAGCCCCUCAACAAAACAAACCCUCAGAAAAACCCUUCAGAAUAUAAGGAGGAAUAAAACUGGAAAGUUUGGUGAAUUCUCCUCAGGCUGUGACCUCCGGGAUGUUGUUCACGACGGAGGGGAAGAUGGCGUGCGCGGUGGACAGGUGGGUCGCCCCACUCGGCCGGCGACAUCCACAACACGAGCCCAGAUAAGAAGAAGAUGAUAUGAUGAGCUGAUAUUUGAAAAUCUUCAGAAAGUGUAAACAGAUGACAGAAGACGGAGAGAGACGCUGAUGUCCGCCGACCGCCGAUCGAUGGGCGAGCCGGGGAGUCUGACUUCCUCUGGUCCCGCCCUCCCUAACCUGCCUCGCCACUGGUCACCGGGUCCAUCGCUCAACGUGGCUGACGGCCGCGGUGGCCCCUCGUCCUCCUGAUCGAUGCCAUGGAUUUUCUCCUCCUCUCAGACAGAUAUUAUGACAUCUGAUGGUGAGGUGGUUAAUGUUGUGCUAUCGCAGAUAAACACACACACACACACACAGUGAAGAGCAGAUCAAUCCUUGUCUUAUCACAGUCGUCGUUCAAUAAAGCUCCGAAUGGAAGAUGAAUUCAUGAGGGAGGAGACGCAUUGAUUGUUUCCAAACACAGGGACUCCGCCUGGGAAUCAGGCAACUGGGACAAUUUAAGUUUAAUUGAAGUUUCACAGCCUCUGUUUUCUUUAGUUUUCUGUAAAUCUCACACUGUGUCUUUAAAAGAGACGUUUUCUGAUCAUAUCCAGGUUGAUGAUAAAUUAAACAUUUAGCUACAGGUUGAACGCCAUGUUUUCCUUAAACAUUUAAUUACAUAUAAAUUAGUGUUUUGCUCAGUGAACUGAACGCAGCCCUGGUUUUUGUAUUAUAUUUUUGCAACACAAGUUUGAUUAAUAAACCUGGUGAAUCUACAGAGUCACAGUGAAUCCACUGAUGUGUUUGCAUCAGUUUCAUCACUGGAGAAUAGAUCCCGCUGACGGGACGUGAGGUCGGACUCUGACUUCCUGUUGCUCACACACUGUUUCUCAAGUGUUUCCUGCACAUUCAAUUAUUCAUCAGUUGGUUCUAAUGAAGAUUUAAGACAGAGACUGAUGAUCUGAUAAUUACUGUGGUCGUGUGAAGAGAAUCCACAAUAACAUGACUUGUACUCUUUUACAGUAUUUAUAUAUAAAGGAAAACAUAUU
Long non-coding RNA from Hippoglossus stenolepis (Pacific halibut), 1707 nucleotides. RefSeq lists it as uncharacterized. The record is from RefSeq and is a predicted model, not a curated record. The transcript is spliced from 4 exons. Lineage: Eukaryota; Metazoa; Chordata; Actinopteri; Pleuronectiformes; Pleuronectidae.